GGGCUCCUUCGGGGGUACUCGAGCGGCGAACGGGUGAGUAACACGUGAGUAAUCUGCCCCUCACUUUGGGAUAGCCACCGGAAACGGUGAUUAAUACCGGAUAUGACGCGGCCUCGCAUGGGGUUGUGUGGAAAGUUUUUCGGUGAGGGAUGUGCUCGCGGCCUAUCAGCUUGAUGGUGAGGUAAUGGCUCACCAUGGCUUCGACGGGUAGCCGGCCUGAGAGGGUGACCGGUCACACUGGGACUGAGACACGGCCCAGACUCCUACGGGAGGCAGCAGUGGGGAAUAUUGGACAAUGGGCGGAAGCCUGAUCCAGCAACGCCGCGUGAGGGAUGACGGCCUUCGGG
RNAcentral lists this ribosomal RNA (347 nucleotides) under uncultured bacterium. Its description in RNAcentral is "bacterial SSU rRNA". It matches the Rfam family "Bacterial small subunit ribosomal RNA", at positions 72 to 422 of the family's 1533-position model. The record is from RNAcentral.